Molecule: microRNA precursor, 191 nt
Organism: Medicago truncatula (barrel medic)
Lineage: Eukaryota; Viridiplantae; Streptophyta; Magnoliopsida; Fabales; Fabaceae
Rfam family: MIR2619 microRNA precursor family
Source: Rfam
AAACAACCCCCUAUGUAUUGGAUCUUUAACAGUUUUGGCCCCCAAUGCCACUUUUGACUUAGUCUUCGCUGAUGUGGCACCCACAAUGGUCGACACGUGGUACCUCACUAGGUGCCAAGUCAGCGAAGACUAAGUCAAAAAUGGUCUUGGGGGCCAAAACUGCCAAAGAUCCAAUACAUAGGGAGCUGUUU